RNAcentral lists this ribosomal RNA (1518 nucleotides) under Staphylococcus aureus. Its description in RNAcentral is "partial 23S ribosomal RNA". It matches the Rfam family "Bacterial large subunit ribosomal RNA", at positions 1277 to 2791 of the family's 2925-position model. Lineage: Bacteria; Bacillati; Bacillota; Bacilli; Caryophanales; Staphylococcaceae. The record is from RNAcentral.
AGCGCUUAGAAGUGAGAAUGCCGGUGUGAGUAGCGAAAGACGGGUGAGAAUCCCGUCCACCGAUUGACUAAGGUUUCCAGAGGAAGGCUCGUCCGCUCUGGGUUAGUCGGGUCCUAAGCUGAGGCCGACAGGCGUAGGCGAUGGAUAACAGGUUGAUAUUCCUGUACCACCUAUAAUCGUUUUAAUCGAUGGGGGGACGCAGUAGGAUAGGCGAAGCGUGCGAUUGGAUUGCACGUCUAAGCAGUAAGGCUGAGUAUUAGGCAAAUCCGGUACUCAUUAAGGCUGAGCUGUGAUGGGGAGAAGACAUUGUGUCUUCGAGUCGUUGAUUUCACACUGCCGAGAAAAGCCUCUAGAUAGAAAAUAGGUGCCCGUACCGCAAACCGACACAGGUAGUCAAGAUGAGAAUUCUAAGGUGAGCGAGCGAACUCUCGUUAAGGAACUCGGCAAAAUGACCCCGUAACUUCGGGAGAAGGGGUGCUCUUUAGGGUUAACGCCCAGAAGAGCCGCAGUGAAUAGGCCCAAGCGACUGUUUAUCAAAAACACAGGUCUCUGCUAAACCGUAAGGUGAUGUAUAGGGGCUGACGCCUGCCCGGUGCUGGAAGGUUAAGAGGAGUGGUUAGCUUCUGCGAAGCUACGAAUCGAAGCCCCAGUAAACGGCGGCCGUAACUAUAACGGUCCUAAGGUAGCGAAAUUCCUUGUCGGGUAAGUUCCGACCCGCACGAAAGGCGUAACGAUUUGGGCACUGUCUCAACGAGAGACUCGGUGAAAUCAUAGUACCUGUGAAGAUGCAGGUUACCCGCGACAGGACGGAAAGACCCCGUGGAGCUUUACUGUAGCCUGAUAUUGAAAUUCGGCACAGCUUGUACAGGAUAGGUAGGAGCCUUUGAAACGUGAGCGCUAGCUUACGUGGAGGCGCUGGUGGGAUACUACCCUAGCUGUGUUGGCUUUCUAACCCGCACCACUUAUCGUGGUGGGAGACAGUGUCAGGCGGGCAGUUUGACUGGGGCGGUCGCCUCCUAAAAGGUAACGGAGGCGCUCAAAGGUUCCCUCAGAAUGGUUGGAAAUCAUUCAUAGAGUGUAAAGGCAUAAGGGAGCUUGACUGCGAGACCUACAAGUCGAGCAGGGUCGAAAGACGGACUUAGUGAUCCGGUGGUUCCGCAUGGAAGGGCCAUCGCUCAACGGAUAAAAGCUACCCCGGGGAUAACAGGCUUAUCUCCCCCAAGAGUUCACAUCGACGGGGAGGUUUGGCACCUCGAUGUCGGCUCAUCGCAUCCUGGGGCUGUAGUCGGUCCCAAGGGUUGGGCUGUUCGCCCAUUAAAGCGGUACGCGAGCUGGGUUCAGAACGUCGUGAGACAGUUCGGUCCCUAUCCGUCGUGGGCGUAGGAAAUUUGAGAGGAGCUGUCCUUAGUACGAGAGGACCGGGAUGGACAUACCUCUGGUGUACCAGUUGUCGUGCCAACGGCAUAGCUGGGUAGCUAUGUGUGGACGGGAUAAGUGCUGAAAGCAUCUAAGCAUGAA